RNAcentral lists this ribosomal RNA (462 nucleotides) under uncultured bacterium. RNAcentral describes it as "bacterial SSU rRNA". It matches the Rfam family "Bacterial small subunit ribosomal RNA", at positions 28 to 507 of the family's 1533-position model. The record is from RNAcentral.
GAUGAACGCUAGCGGCAGGCUUAAUACAUGCAAGUCGAACGGCAAGGACUUUCGGGUCCCUAGAGUGGCGCACGGGUGAGUAACACGUACACAACAUACCCUAUAUUGGAGGAUAGCCUUGGGAAACUGGGGGUAAGUAUUCCAUAGUAUUUAUUGGAGGCAUCUCUGAUAAAUUAAAGAGCAAUCGAUAUAGGAUUGGUGUGCGUCCCAUUAGCUAGUUGGUAGGGUAACGGCCUACCAAGGCUACGAUGGGUAGCUGGCGUGAGAGCGCGACCAGCCACACUGGAACUGAGACACGGUCCAGACUCCUACGGGAGGCAGCAGUAGGGAAUAUUGGGCAAUGGGGGUAACCCUGACCCAGCGACGCCGCGUGAGGGACGAAGGUUUUCGGAUCGUAAACCUCUGUUGUACGGGAAGAAGGAAUUGACGGUACCGUACGAGAAAGCCCCGGCAAACUACGUG